AAAACAUAUGUUUAUGUGCUGUUGAUUUCAGAGAAUAUAUUUCAUAAUGUAGAAGACAUCAUCUGUUUUUAUUCUCCAAGACUCGGGAUACAAUGAGAUGUAUAUAAUGCACUUUCAGACAUUAAAUUCUGGGACAUGGACCCAGGUUCACAGAACAACCACUUUCUGGAGCACUGCCAAACAGACUAGGAGCAGGAGAAGAGAAUAAGAGGAAGCAGGCACUCGAUUUUGAGAAUUCUUCACAUCCCUCAAAAAUUCUACUAGUCUCUAACAGUCUGGACUCCACGCAAAGAAAAGAAGUAUGAUUUCGUUGUUUGUAAACUGUCCUGUGAGGCACAGAAGUAAAUUAUGAGCCAUUCACUUAUUAUCAUUCUGUCCAAGAAGAAGAGAAAAAGAACAACGACAGCAAAUUAGACAGACGAUGAGAGCAGGACACGGCUGUCUUCCGGAGAGUUUCAAGCAGAUAAGAGAAUGUGCCCUGGGAUGGGCUCCUCGCAAAAUCUCCUGCUGUUCUCCUGGGAGGUUACCAUUUGUUCCGCCCACAGGGUUCCAAAAUUAAGAACUGGCCUCUUUUGUGGGGAAAAGUGCUUUUAAUGCAUUUAUAAGAAGCUGAAAUACACAGAGAUACAAGAAAAAUGCUUUUAAAUGUAUAUUUGCAUUCACUUUGGAGAUGGAAUGCUGAAUGUAACUGUUUUAGCUCAAAAAGUUUUGUGGGCUUUUAAAAAAAUUAGUUUUUUGUAGUAUAGUAGACAGUAGCAGGAUACAGCUCUGCCAUUGCCAUUUAUCUAACUCAGCAAGACUAAUUCGCACCCCUCACACCACUUUCCCUAAGAGUUCUGUAUGAAAGAUUACCCCGGUGCCUUCAUUGUUCCUUUGUUCAUAAUUGCUCAGCAUCUCUCCAUUCUGGCUUGAGUUAAAUCAGAAAUACAAUGAACUACAUGGAAUAUAUGUGUGAACAGAAUACCAGCAAUCCUUCCUUUCCUG
Molecule: long non-coding RNA, 984 nt
Filed under: Equus asinus (donkey)
Lineage: Eukaryota; Metazoa; Chordata; Mammalia; Perissodactyla; Equidae
Description: lncRNA (ENSEASG00005038551.1)
Source: RNAcentral